UUCCAUAUUAUGGUUAAGUUAUUUUUACUACUGAAACACCUCACAAUGAAAGCUCAAGACUCUGACAACCCUUAUAUCGUUCUGAGACGCGUUUUUGUCGAUUUUGCUUUCACUAGCCACAUGAUAAUCUACACUAAAAUCACUUUCGUGUUUCACUUCUUGACUUUACUCCUCGAAACUUAUUACAUGAUUACAAACUUUAAUGUGGAACUCUUUUCACGUUAUGGUUGCAUGAUGUGCCUCAUGACUUAUAUCGUUUUGGCUAAACUAUUGGAAAUUUUAUUUGCCAGACAUAUCAAAUUUUUGGAGGAAGAGCGUCUUUCUCAUUUCUGGAAACUUGAAGAAAGUAGUGAAGAAACACAAAAAGUGGUGAACGCGGAAUCUUCAAAAAUUAGGAAAAAAACGUUUUUUGUUCUAUCGUGGUUUGUGGCGUUAGGGUUUGUUUUGUUCCCAAUUUUUGGGGAUUUGAACGAUUUGUUCAUGUUUGGUCGAGUGUAUAGGAAUUAUUUUGGAAGUUGGGCCAUUAUUCCCUUCUGUAUUUACGUUUCCACGUUUCCUUCGAUCGCUUACAACUCUAUUUGUUUACCAGCAGUUGUAUCAUAUUUUAUAUUUCACCUAAACUUACAGAUAAGCUUAAUAAAUGACAAACUUGGCAAAAUUUCAGAAAAAUCCCGCCAGAGCGAGAUUUACCAAAAAUUAUGCUCAUGUGUUGCUCACCACGUGAGGCUAAGAAGGUCAAUUUAAUUAAUUUUUUUGCGAUCUAAUUUCUACUUCCAGAUGGACAAAUAUAUUUCAAAAUGAGUUGGAAUCAGCUCUGCCUUUUUACCUCUUCUUGGGUGCUAUUAAUUCUAUUGCUGUCUCAUUUUUCAUUCUUUAUGUACUGAUUAAAAAAAAUUUUUUGUCGUAUAACAAUUUUUUUUAGAAUCUUCAAAACAUGACUCUAAUUUUUGAAAUACGUUUGGUCGUAAUUUCAGUCUGUAAUGUUCUGAUUCUUUGGAUUUUUGCUGAAGCUGGACAAGAAUUUAGUGAUAAUUCUGACUCAAUUUUUGAUGCUGUAGUAGCAUGUCCUUGGUACAGUUGGAACGCUCAAAAUCGGAAAAUUAUGUUGAUAUUUAUGCUGAAUUGUUUAAAACCAAUGACUUUUUCGUGGGGCGGCGUUAAACUCGACUAUCAAUUUACU
Long non-coding RNA from Tribolium castaneum (red flour beetle), 1180 nucleotides. RefSeq lists it as uncharacterized. The transcript has 3 exons. Lineage: Eukaryota; Metazoa; Arthropoda; Insecta; Coleoptera; Tenebrionidae. The record is from RefSeq and is a predicted model, not a curated record.